UAAAAAGGAACCAAACUAAUUCUCUUCAUCAAUUAAGGGAUUCGAGUUCAAAUACAAUUCUUUCGAUUAUGACAAACAUUUAUCUUCCUGGGUUACUUUAAGCAUCAAAAUACGAAUAUUCAGGUCAAAAUUCAUCUCGUUUUUCCUUUAAGCGUAUAUUGAAUAUCAGAUGGGAGGAAAAAAAAAAAUCUAAUUCCCCCUACACAGGGGGUAGAAACUAUCCGGGGGGCAGAAACUAUCAGACCUGUUAUGUAACCCAAUCUACUCAGCUAUAUCCUCCACAAUUAUCCAGCAACACUUUUGAUGCACCAUCAGUGCUACUUUCGAUAGCCAUUGCCAGAGUGCCGGACAAAAUUCUAUUAUCAUUUUUCAUAUAAGUUUCUGUUUGCUCAGACGUGCUUCUUCUCCAAAUUAGCUG
Molecule: long non-coding RNA, 418 nt
Filed under: Citrus sinensis (sweet orange)
Lineage: Eukaryota; Viridiplantae; Streptophyta; Magnoliopsida; Sapindales; Rutaceae
Description: long non-coding RNA (CSIN_LNC002196)
Source: RNAcentral